CUGCAAUUUUUCUGUAAACCUAGCACUAUUCCAAAAUACAGAGAAGAUUAGCAUGGCUCCUAUGCAAAGAUGACACACAAAUUCGUGAAACAUUUCAUAUUUUU
This is a small nuclear RNA of Cebus imitator (Panamanian white-faced capuchin), 104 nucleotides long. The record is from Ensembl. Lineage: Eukaryota; Metazoa; Chordata; Mammalia; Primates; Cebidae.